UGUAUCUGAAGCCUGACGAGGAUGAGAACCUCCGGGGGCAAGAGGUUCGACCCGAGCGAAGCGAGAAAACGUUGCGUCAGCAACGGCCCGCAGGGCGAGCCACGC
This 105-nucleotide small RNA is filed under the name Salmonella enterica subsp. enterica serovar Indiana. RNAcentral's name for it is "partial RtT sRNA". It matches the Rfam family "RtT RNA", at positions 1 to 101 of the family's 130-position model. Rfam says of the family: This family represents a bacterial cis-regulatory element known as RtT RNA. The exact function of RtT is unknown although it is thought that it may be involved in changing the cellular response in relation to amino acid starvation. RNAcentral also lists the same sequence under 1 other name. Lineage: Bacteria; Pseudomonadati; Pseudomonadota; Gammaproteobacteria; Enterobacterales; Enterobacteriaceae. The record is from RNAcentral.